GCAUCAUGGAAAGCAUCCAGUCUAGCAUUUUCCAGACACUUGCCUGGAACUAUACACUCAUAUAUGGUCAGAUAAGACAGGGCUGUCCCCAGAGAGCCAUAAACUACAUUAAUGUAGCAAAUCAAAGCUCUGAUAAGUCCUGCAGUAAGGAGACAUGUUUAUAAUUUUGUUUUCUCUGGCACCUUUUAAAAAUCUGUACCGCCUUCCUUCCAUUUCUCAGGUGCCUCGUGAUAUCUUAAAAUGUACUGUUUGGCAAAUACUGAUUUAGUUCAACUCCUCCUAAGACCUAAGGCCAACAGUAAAACUGAAGCCCAAGACGUGGGAGGAUUUGCCCAAGGCUGCACAAUCAGAAGAAAAUGCAGCCAUCCUGACUCGGAACUGUCUCAGCAGGCCUGGCUUUGAAUUUUAGACGUUGCCAUGGAGGACCAGGGGAUCUCAGAUCUGCAGGAGAGAUAUUAUCAUGAUCCCCAUUCUGCAGAUAAGACAACUGAGGCUCAGAACGGUGAGAAGACUUUCUGAGCAGUCUUCCAUCGGGCAGUGUCGGGAUUUGAACCCAGGUCUCAAAGAACAUCUACGAUCUAUGGUGUAUUGGGGCCUUGCUCUGUGCCCAGCAUUUUAAUAACAGCAGCAUCACAGCAAUAACAAUACUGAACCCUUGUCCGCACUUGACCCCCGUCAGCUCAUUUAAUAACAACAAUCCUCAUGCACCAGAACCCCGAUUUCCAGAUAAGGAAACACAGCACGGGAAAGAUAAACAUUCUGUGCAUCCUGCUGGUUAGUGUGGCACAGCCACUUUCAGAACUCAGGCCUGGCCACCAGCCAACUCGGAACGCCCUGGCUGAACCCCUCCAUCCGCACAUGGCCCCAGCGUGUCUCCUGGCCCACCACCCCCGGCAGAGCCUCUGAUGUUUACAAUUCUGCCCCGGGAGGCUUUGAAAACUCCCCCUACACGCCGCCUGCCCCGCCAGGGCUUGUAUCUGCCCAGCCUGCCUCGCAAUGGCUUUUAUUGAUUCUCUGGCCUGCCAGCCUGUGCCGGGAACACACUCUUUUUAAUGGAGCGUUAAUUGGGAGGGAAGAGAGAGAAAGCUGUUCCCCUGCCCAGCAGGGACUGAGUCUCCUGUCUCCUCCUCCUUUCUCCCAGGCUGGGAUGUGGCGGCAAGGACCCCAGGCCUGGCGUCCUGGGCAGGCCUAGACUCUUCCUGCUGCUGACUCAUGGCGUGACCUCGGACAAGUUCCGCUUGGGCCUCAGCCUCCUCAGCUGUGAAAUGGGAGCAGACAGCCCUGCUUCUCAGGGCCGGAGUGAGGAUUACUUGGAAGAAGGAAUCUAAGAGUCUUAGUCCAGUUUUUGGUACUUAGUAGGUGCUCAAUAAAUCAUCAAAUCUCUUCUGGCCUCCCAAUUCCCAAGACAGCCUGAGUUUGAAUCUGGGCGGCCUUGGACAAGUUACUUUCAGCUUUCUGUGCCUCAGUUUCCUCAUCUGUGAAAAGAGGAGACAGACAGGCCCCACCUCCUCUGGUUGCCUUCACUGAGAUGCUACAGCAGUGCCUGCAUGAGGCCGUUUGCUAAAAAUAAUUCUAUGGAGAGCAACAGUUACCAUCAUUUUUGGCCCCCUCUUACGCUUCUGUGGCGAGCACGUGCCAACCCGUUGAACCGUCACAACAUCGGGGAUGUUAUCACCACCCCCAUUUUGCAGGGGUCUGGAGCUCUUGUUCCAGGCGUGGGCGCAGAUCCUGGUGGCCUGCCGCAUUCGGGCUCCAGAUGGAGAAAGACCCACGUCAGAGUUCCCUCCGUUGGACACCCUAGGAGCCCAGCACAUCUGCAGCAAAUAGGAGAGGUGUAUGCUCGUGUCUUUUUCCAUUCCCUUUCUCAGACCCCCGAUGGAAUUUCCAGCACGUUCGGCUCCACGGGGGCAGGACCCUCGGGUGUCUUGCUCGCAGCAACAUCCCUGGUGCCUGGAAGGGUGCCUGGUGCAUUGUCGGAGCUUGGCAGGUCUUGCCAAGCAGGUGAUGUCCCGUUAGCGACCCAGUGUCACAAUUGCCUGGCUCACAUGUGGCAGACCCUGUACGCAGUAACAGCAUUAGAAUGGGGCUAAAAUUUCCAGAGUGCCUAGAAGGUGCCAGCACCCAAUGGAAUGCUUUCCAAGCGUGCUAUUUAUUUAUUCCUCACCACAGCCCCCCUCCCAGAAGUUCAUACCAUCAUCAUCUCCAUCUGACAGAUGAGGACACUGAGGUUCAACACGGGAGGGAACUUGUCCAAGGCCACCAGCUUGUGGGUUCUAAAUCCAGCUGUGUCUGAACUUCAAGCCCCGUCCUCUUUCCUUGGCCAAAUGCCCGGGCAAAAACAAGAUGAUUAAUAAAUUAAAUAAAUAAACAACCCACGUGGUCCCUCCCUACCCAAGUCAGUGCCCUCAUAAUCCUACACAGCUAAUGCUUAUUUAUUCAGCUCUAGCUUCCUGUUACUAUUAUGUCCAAAAUUCUUUCCAGAAUGUUCUGAAUAACAGUAAUUCACGAUAGCCACGCUUUCUGUUUUGUGGAGGAAAGUUUUAUUAAUUAUACGGGAAAGGGAAUAUAUGGAAUUAAAUAAUUCGAGUAAACAUAAAGAGGGGGAGAGUAUAGAGAAGAACAGAGAAGGGUUAACACAUCAAAUCAGGUACUCGCAACAUCCAACCUCUGGCUGGGGGAGCCCCUCGGUGAACAGCCCCCUCUGGAGUCCCGACUGAGGGUCCUGGGCAGAAUGUCCUCCCCUUGGGUGAGGCUUCCAACUAACUAUUCCCGCCAGGGCAAUAUAUACACUACCCAUGUGUGAUCUCUGGUUAGUCAUGAAGUUUGCCUAAGUGCAGUCCUGAGCAAGCUGGGUUUUUUCUCUGUGUCUCUUAUCCUAUCUCACAAUCUUAGGAGCCUGGGCCUGUGCACGUUUCUCUUCCCGCCCUGAUCCAUUCCAGGGGACCAGCCUGGUCUGGCUCAAGAAGGUGAGGCAAGUUAAUCCCCCUUGGCGUCAGGAACAGAAGGGCCAAUUCUGAUCCCGAGGCCAGAUACGGAGCACAAGCCAACUAAGCCCCCCAUGACGGUGUAUGUGUGGCUCUGGGCAGAAAUGCAUGACAAGUCUCACGAACACGCUCUAUACAGAACACAGGGAUCGCUUCCUCUGACCACCUCUGCAAGUAAUAAUAAUAAUAAUACUUAUUUAA
Herpailurus yagouaroundi (jaguarundi) is the source of this 3185-nucleotide long non-coding RNA. RefSeq lists it as uncharacterized. NCBI's taxonomy places the organism in Eukaryota, Metazoa, Chordata, Mammalia, Carnivora, Felidae. The record is from RefSeq and is a predicted model, not a curated record. The transcript has 4 exons.